RNAcentral lists this long non-coding RNA (3579 nucleotides) under Zea mays. RNAcentral describes it as "long non-coding RNA (ZMAY_LNC005692)". Lineage: Eukaryota; Viridiplantae; Streptophyta; Magnoliopsida; Poales; Poaceae. The record is from RNAcentral.
UAACUAACAGGUAAAUAAUUAAUUCAUUAAUUAAAUAAACAUGUGUCGCGACCAAACAAUGUUUCUAAUAUGAAAUUGACGCCGCUAGAGUUGACGUGACCGAACGAGUUACGCCGCAUGAGACUUAAUACCUUUAAACCUAUAAUGAACUUAUAAACAACGCGAUACACGAGUAUUGUUAAAUUAUGCCGUAUUCAUACUAACUACGCGUUAAACACGACAUUCAAGUUGGCGUACACACACUAACAGGUAUCUACAAACGCAUAAUUAAAAUCAUUAAUUAGAUUCGAUGGAAUUUUUAUUUUACUAGUACACAACUAAACAAGUAAUCAAUUAUUUAAUGUAAACGGUAUAGUGAAAUAAUUUUACUAAAGCGCGUAAAUAAUGAUUUACGCGAACGACGACGCGAGCGAACAACAUGCUGAUAUUCGUUUAUAAAAGCGCAAGUUAAAAACCAUAGAGUAGUUGUAACUAAAUUGUUAUCUUAGUAACCGAUAGACCGACAAAUAACUAAUUAAUAAAUUAACUAAAACCUUUGAAAUGCGAGAACAAUAUUUUAACUGGUAGACCACAUUACUACGAAUCUAACGCAUUUGCGCGGAGUAAAACAGAUUUAUAGCACAAAAGAUAUGGCGCAUUCAGUAACCCAGGGACCUAUUCCUAAUUAACCAUAUACUUCAGCGGCUAGCAUAUAACUUUCUCAAGUAAAAAAAUAGCAUACCAUGCACAGAAAAAAUAGGGGCUUUUUCAGAAAUAGGCUCUCUUCCUCCUUGGGUCGUCACCACCGGGCAGGGCACGAACUCGCAUGGGGGUGGGGGGUUUGGCCAAUCGGCCGGUCGCCGCGCCACCGCACCUAGCCGCGCCCCCAGGGUAUGCGCCGGGGAGGGGCGGGCGAGCGCCACGCUAGGGCCAUGCCGCCGGGCUGGACCGGCUGCUAGGCGACAAGGUGCCAUGGCCAGCUUGCCAGGCUUGGUCGUGGCUAGCCGCCGCGCGCCGCGCAGGCUGGCCAUCGGGCCUUUUACUUUUCUCUCCUAUUUUCUUUAUGUCCUCUUCUUUUCUAUUCUCUCUACCAAUUCAAAUCGAAUUCAUUAAUAAAUGCAUGCUCCACAGGAUCAUUCAUCAAACAAAAAAUGCAAUAUCCUUCGACAUGAUGGAACAAUCAAACCACCUCCAGUGUUUUAUUUUACUAGGCUUAAACGUAUAUAAAACAAAAUAAUUCUACACUAUUUAGGAAAAAGAAAAGAAAAGCAAGGAAAAGAAAGGGUAACACCUGAAUUUGAUGGAUAUUAGAGAAAAAAUUUUAUACCCCCAAAUUCAGGGUGUUACAUGCAGCCACAUCCGAGGUCCACUGGUCACCACCCCACUGAUCAUCUCCUUGGUAAUCAGUUACUGUAGCAAACUCAGGGGCCGCAACAGCUUCCUCCUCCUGCUCCUUUGCUUCCUCUGGGUCUCUGUAGAAGAACAGAUCAACCUGCAAACGACAUUAUUAUCAAAUAAGAAUGGAAAGGUUACCAAUAAAACCUGGAAUCACCACAUCUCCAAUGUCAUUUUGGACAACAUCAUAAGCUAGCAUACCAUGACUUCCCACUUGUGCCCAGAGAGGAUAGUGCCCCUCAUCUGCAGAACCAUCCUGGCCAAAAGCCAGAACAGGCAUCCAAUGUUGUUCCUCCCCUUGUUGUUGGCAGGGAUGCCGAUAUCGACAUACCGCAUCGGAGAGUCAGUGUCGCAGAAGGCAAUGGUCGGGAUGUUCCCUAGAGCAGACUCCUUGAUUGGCUGCAAACAGUUACGCACUACAAUUAGUCCACCAUCACACUGCAGCAUUCAUAAAUAUUUCGUAAGAACUUUGGAACAGAAAUUCCCUUCACCUGAUGGUAAUAGGAACGACAUCUCAUCGUUUCUUACAUAUGAACAAUUGAUUAACAUCCUAUUUUUUACGACAACAUGAUUUGUUUGCCUCCAAUAUCUUAUCAAACUAUAAAAUCGGUGGUUCCAAUAUGGAUUGACAUUAUAUAUAAGAGUAUUUUGGUGCAGACUGAGUAUUCCAGUGGGUGGGAAAAAACAUGAACUACCAUGUAUAUAAUAUCAUGCAUAUAAGAGUAUUUCGGUGGGAGUGAAUGCUGUAAUGAAAUAGUGAGAGAUAUUUAAAGAGUAGUAUAUUGUAGGGAUAUAAUGCACAGAAUACAUGAACCACAUCACAAAAGUGGGAUGAUGAAUCAUGUAUCUAUGCUUUCAUUUAUGAAUCACGUAUCUAUGCACAGAAUACAUGAACCACAUCACUACCCAGAACAAGGACACAAGAUGAAGACUACUAUGAAGAGUUUUGGGUUGUCAUCGUUCCGAUCAGCCUGUGCCUCGUUAUCAAGAUUGUCGCCGUCAUUGCUUAGUUUCUUUCAUUUAGUUAUUUUUAUAAAGAUAUUUUAUUUAUAUAAUAAAGUUCGUAACACGAGUUUCUAUAUACUAAAUCAUCAUAUAUGUAAAAAUUAUCCAUGAUACACUGGAUCAGUGUCGGACCUGAAGGGGGAGGGGGUUCGGAUGGUGUGACAGAUCCGGGGGCCCUCAGGCCGUAGGGAUCCAUAAAUAACAUUAAUGAUGUAAAAUUGCUAUAUUUAUAUGCAUGGUUUGAAGAACGGGUACUAUAUGUCUAUAUUAACUUUUUACUUAUUAUUAUUAUUAUUAGUUUGCUUAGUGAAUUAAACGGAUUGAUCCGCUGCUACCUUAUUCUUUACAAGCUAAUAAUAAUAAUUACUAGCAUAAGAAAUAUAGUCAUUCUAUGAAAUUUAUAUGACAAACCCAUGAUAAAUCAACUUAUCUAGAAAGAAGUGAUUAAAGCACUAGUUUUUCUGAUUUCACGGUUUCCACCGUCGUUGUACUUUCCGACCCAUAUUUAAAUAGUAAAAAAUAUUAAAAUUAUGCAUAAAUGAGAAUUGAACAAUGGUUGUUGGCUCUACACCUAUAUUCACAUCUACCUAGCCAAUACAAUACACUUGCCUUUGUUUUUUAUAUUCAAUUCUUAAGUACAAAUAAAAAUCAUAACAAUGUAUGGAUACUUUGCUAGUCUAGAAUAAAGUGACUUCUCAAAAUAAAAACACCACAUCAGCUAAGAUGGUGACGGAAGACAUCUGGCAACACACUCGCGGGAGCAUAAAGAACUUAUCAAGGUUGUGAUUUUUAAUUGAUCACAUUCGAAUUUUAUUGGUAAAAUCAAUAUACAAUAUUAACAAGGGCUUCUAUUUAAAAUUUCGUUCUGGGCUCCUAAAAUCUAAGGACCGCCACUUAUCUAGAUUUGUCAUAAAAUCUCGGGAUGUGUAUAGAAUAUAUAUAUAACUAACAGUAGAAAGUACAACACUGAAUAAAUCAGAAUACCUACACCACCGACGUUCCCUGACGCAUUAGAAAAUCUAUCUCAAUUCUCAGUUGUAACUUCAGUACCCUACUGUAACCGUCCACAAGUACAUUUCUUGGUCGGGGAUGCCGAGCUCGAAGCUAAUCAGGCCAUAGGUGCCAUCGUAGGAGAAACCAACCGCCUUGGAAUCGACGGCGACACACGUUGGCUUGGUCGAGGAAUAAGCUCCGACCGUG